Diabrotica virgifera virgifera (western corn rootworm) is the source of this 1160-nucleotide long non-coding RNA. RefSeq lists it as uncharacterized. The record is from RefSeq and is a predicted model, not a curated record. The transcript is spliced from 3 exons. NCBI's taxonomy places the organism in Eukaryota, Metazoa, Arthropoda, Insecta, Coleoptera, Chrysomelidae.
UAAUUAUGUGAUAUAAUCAAAGAAUAUAGACGUUAAUAGAAGGGCACUACCCUGUAACGUUUCAGCAUAGGAUUUUGUGUUCCUACUGAGUAGGUGCAUGUGGCCUGACAACGACUACGGUAUUUUCAAGGGACAAAUCAACGUGACCAUUUUUUCCAUAGUAGUUAUUCAUACAUAGUAGGAGAGUAGUUAUUCUUUAAUAUAUUUGAUUUAAAAUGAAUCAGGAUUUUUGUAAUUUGGCAACAACGUCAAUAUAGAUAACAACGUAGUAAUGACACAAGAAUCUACAGGUCGAGCAAGUCUCGUAAAUUUCACGAUUGCGAGCCACGCUUCACGCAACCGUGUUUGCGUACUUGUGUUUCGAGUUGCGUGGUCGUGCGGAGUUAUAUUUACCAAAUUUAAAUAUAAUCGUUUCUACUGAUUCAUAAUAAUAUAUGUCAAUAUGGCUACUGGGUGUAAAAGAUAAAUGUUAUUCUAUCUGUUCUUAAUGAGUUUUAGAUAAUUUUAGUUGUAUUUCUUUGUAAUUUUGUGUUGUACAAAGAUUAAUUUAACAUUUUCUCUGGAAGUAUUAAUUUAGAAAGAUAAUAUGCUUCAAUGGUGUUGUGUUUUGAAGUGUGAAAUGCAAAGUACCUAAUUGUGAUAAAGUCAAGAUAAAGUUCACUUUUAAACUGAACUAAAUAAGGUAUCUGAGAGACAACAAUGGUUAAAUGCAAUACAAUGUACAGGUUUUACUAGCGAAAUGAAAAUUUUCCUGUCCUGUCUGCUGUAAUCAUUUUAUAUCUGGAAAACCAGCCGACUUAAUCGAUAAUAACAAUCUCCAGAUUGGGUUCCUUCAAUAAAUAUGGGCUAUAAACACAAUGAAAUAAGUUCCCCAAAAUCUAAACUGGAGUGGUAUCAAAGGAGAAUUAAAGGAAAAAAUAUUCAUAUUGAAAUUAUUUAUAAGGCACUGGACUGUCUUAAAUUCUACAAUAAUACUAGAAUCAGCUGAGAGAAGUGGUCUACAAAAAACCAGGAAGGAAACGGAAUAUGUGGCUACGAAAGGCAAAAGAAAAGUUUACAAAGCAAAUGUGACACAUUUUUUUGAAAUAUUUAGGAAUAUUAGUAAAUUGCAUUAAAAAAAUGUAUGAAAAGAUUUUGUUCAAUAAAAAUGUUUAUAUUUA